Molecule: ribosomal RNA, 200 nt
Filed under: uncultured eukaryote
Lineage: Eukaryota
Description: partial 18S ribosomal RNA
Rfam family: Eukaryotic small subunit ribosomal RNA
Source: RNAcentral
GCUCCAAUAGCGUAUAUUAAAGUUGUUGCAGUUAAAAAGCUCGUAGUUGAAUUUCUGGUGUCUGCCGGUCACCUUUCGGGCGUGGUCCGCAGCGCCAUCCUCGCCUUCUGGGCGUCAUUUACUGUGAAGAAAUUAGAGUGUUUAAAGCAGGCUUUAGGCUUGAAUACAUUAGCAUGGAAUAAUAAGAUAGGACCUGAAUU